UUCGCUGCCAGCCGUGGGCCUAUUGCCUACUUUCGGUUUCACAUUCACCAGGUUUUUGCGCAAGUACAUGUGAGGAAAAUCAGGAAGUAUGUACGUCAAGCCUACUACUAGGGUGCGGUUCCGGUGGUUAGAAAAGUGUUUAUUUUCUCAACUAUACAUGUUAAAGUUAGGACAAGCUGAUCGUAGAUCUGCAAUAAACCCACGGUUUGCAACGAACAAUAAGGUUGGAACUACAAAUAUUUUAGCAGGAUAAACCAGUGUGAAGAUCAUCAAGAAAGUUACAUCAUACUUUUGUUCUACCCUUGGCAGCGAUGGCAGCUCAGCAGCUGCAUGGAUUGAGGACCAAAUUCAUUGAGAAGGUGUCAAAGGCCGUUCUAGAUCAACUGAUGGAUGACCUCUUAGAAGACAUGGUGCUGAACGAUGGAGAAAUCGAGGAGAUAAAGGAGAACAACAUGCUGAGGGCGGAUAAGGCUCGCCAACUUAUUGAUAGUGUGCGCAGGAAAGGCAACACAGCCAGUGAGAAGUUUCUCAUACGACUCCAGGAAAGAGACAAAAAUGUCUACAGUGAGCUUAACCCCCAGGUGUAGCCAAUAUGGAUGAGAGAAAAAGUGUCUGACUCUUGACCCUCUCUUGAAAGACCUGGAGGUGCCACCCAGAGAGCCUCUUACAUUCCUUUUGACCAAGGCCUCAUAAUUAAAUGUCUUAAUGUACGGUAUUUUUUAAACAAAUGAAAUAUCUAUAUUUUUCACAAGAAUGUUUAAUAUAGAAUAAAUAUAUAUACAAACUAAAUAUAUAUAUUUUUACAAUGUUUUUCUACUGAAUUUUUUAAAUCUAAUAAAUACUUUAUUUCCUGUUAAUUUUUUUUUUUAUCAUUCUUGCCUUUUAUCCUAGCAUCAAAUAUUAGAUGAAUCGGCUAGGUGAGCCCCAAACAUAACUGAUUACAGCGAAUGCCACACUAACAAAGCACUUCCCUUACAUGCUUCUUGCAGUGGAAAAACAAAAUACAUACCUUAUACCUCAGAUUCUCCUGGCUAGUGGAUUUGAUUAGAUAGCAUCAUCAGUGUGUGCAGUGAAGUGGGUUGAGGCUGAUCCCCUCAAAGAUCUGCUGGGUACAGUAUAGCGACUCUGUACCGGCUGAUUUCCCACCAAGGCCUUCUGUGUUUUUGUUGACCUAAUUAUUCAGUGCAGACAACAUCCCUCUAGAGGAAAUGUUCCCCUGUGUUCCUAGCCAGAUGGAAUGUCCUGUAAUCUCUUUAAAAACAGUAAGCGUAUCAAACAAUGAAUUAACAAACUAGUAAAUAGCAAAAAAUAUGAUACCAUAGGUGAUCAAAUAUGUGUGUAUUUUCACUUAGCAUUGCACAGUAACUGCAGAUCUAACAUUGAAUUGAUCUGACAGUGCUCUAUUCCAAUGAAUAGUUAUUUCCCAACAGUUCAAUAAAAAUGAGUUGCUGCACACUGC
Non-coding RNA from Oncorhynchus mykiss (rainbow trout), 1459 nucleotides. The record is from RefSeq and is a predicted model, not a curated record. NCBI's taxonomy places the organism in Eukaryota, Metazoa, Chordata, Actinopteri, Salmoniformes, Salmonidae.